UGGGGAAUAUUGGACAAUGGGCGCAAGCCUGAUCCAGCCAUGCCGCGUGAGUGAUGAAGGCCCUAGGGUUGUAAAGCUCUUUCACCGGUGAAGAUAAUGACGGUAACCGGCGAAGAAGCCCCGGCUAACUUCGUGCCAGCAGCCGCGGUAAUACGAAGGGGGCUAGCGUUGUUCGGAUUUACUGGGCGUAAAGCGCACGUAGGCGGACGUUUAAGUCAGGGGUGAAAUCCCGGGGCUCAACCCCGGAACUGCCUUUGAUACUGGAAGUCUUGAGUAUGGUAGAGGUGAGUGGAAUUCCGAGUGUAGAGGUGAAAUUCGUAGAUAUUCGGAGGAACACCAGUGGCGAAGGCGGCUCACUGGACCAUUACUGACGCUGAGGUGCGAAAGCGUGGGGAGCAAACAGG
This 404-nucleotide ribosomal RNA is filed under the name Actinomycetes bacterium. RNAcentral describes it as "Actinobacteria bacterium partial 16S ribosomal RNA". It matches the Rfam family "Bacterial small subunit ribosomal RNA", at positions 355 to 776 of the family's 1533-position model. The record is from RNAcentral. Lineage: Bacteria; Bacillati; Actinomycetota; Actinomycetes.